Molecule: non-coding RNA, 144 nt
Organism: Gossypium hirsutum (cotton)
Lineage: Eukaryota; Viridiplantae; Streptophyta; Magnoliopsida; Malvales; Malvaceae
Source: Rfam
UAUUAAAAAUUUCAUCUAUUUAUAUUGUUAAAAACUGACGUGGCUGACGGAAUAACCAAAUAGUACACGUGAUGUGCCACGUGUACCUCAUGUUAAUGUACAAUGACAAGCUUUUAAUAGUAAAAAUAGAUAAAAUUUUUAAUU